UACAGAGGUCCCGAGCGUUGUUCAGAUUCACUGGGCGUAAAGGGUGCGCAGGUGGCAUUGUAAGUUUGAUGUGAAAUCUCCGGGCUUAACCCGGAAAAGGCAUUGAAUACUGCGGUGCUGGAGGUUUGGAGGGGGGACUGGAAUUCUCGGUGUAGCAGUGAAAUGCGUAGAUAUCGAGAGGAACACCAGUGGCGAAGGCGAGUCCCUGGACAACACCUGACACUGAGGCACGAAAGCUAGGGGAGCAAACAGG
RNAcentral lists this ribosomal RNA (253 nucleotides) under uncultured bacterium. RNAcentral's name for it is "partial 16S ribosomal RNA". It matches the Rfam family "Bacterial small subunit ribosomal RNA", at positions 524 to 776 of the family's 1533-position model. The record is from RNAcentral.